RNAcentral lists this unclassified non-coding RNA (23 nucleotides) under Mus musculus (house mouse). RNAcentral describes it as "oocyte_clustered_small_RNA10645". Lineage: Eukaryota; Metazoa; Chordata; Mammalia; Rodentia; Muridae. The record is from RNAcentral.
UGGCCUCCAACACUCAGCCAGCC